Molecule: long non-coding RNA, 2099 nt
Filed under: Mytilus galloprovincialis (Mediterranean mussel)
Lineage: Eukaryota; Metazoa; Mollusca; Bivalvia; Mytilida; Mytilidae
Source: RNAcentral
UUCAGAAAUAAUAUCACAUUAUAAAUUUGAUGCGUUCAAAUCCCUUUUCUGGAUUUACCUUCAUCAGGAACACUUUUAGCAAGGAUGCUAUUAAUUAUAAAUCAAUGUUGCCAACAGGGAAAAAAACAGGAAAACAGAGAACUAACCAAUAAAACGCUACAAGAGGGAAUUAGCAAACAUAUUCUAUUAACAAGAAUGUGUCCAAAGUACACGAAUGCCCCACUUGGACUAUCAUUUUCUAUGUUCAGUGAACCGUGAAAUUGGGUCAAAACUCUAAUUGAGCAUUAAAAUUAGAAAGAUCAUAUCAUAGGUAAUGUGUACUAAGUUUCAAGUUGAUUGGACUUUAACCUGAAGCAGGAUAGAGGGACGAACAAACAGACGAAUGAACAAACAGAUGAACAAAUGGACGAACGAAGGAACAAACUGACGCAGACUGAAAAACAUAAUGUCCCUCUACUAUCGUAUGUAGGGCAUAAAAACAAGAAGUCAUUUAUUGCAGAAGAGAAAGCAGCUCCAUUGUAAUAUAUCACAUGUAUAUGUACUGUUUUCUUUUUUAACAAAGCAAAUAAAGAAUUGAUUCAGAAUAGUUAAGAUAUGAUUUGCUUACUGUUGAUAUAGAUGUAUUAAGAUUUGCUUACAAUCCAGGAAAAAAAAUGAUUUUGAACUAUGUAUCUGAGUAUUUCUUCUCUCACUGCAAAAUGUAACAUGAUCCAAUUAUAUUUUAGUACCAUUAGCUUCAAAUUUACUUAACAAUAAUGAACAGCAUACCCUGUUAUACAAAAUAACUAUAAAUUGUUGGCUACAGUAUACCGUUUUAUAAAUUCAAUUUGACUAGAUAUAACAUACUAAGUCAUUCAAUUAAAAAUAAGAGGGGGAGGGAACAGUAAAAAAAAAGAAAAUUGAAAAUAAUGUUUAUCCCUGUGAAUAUGCCAUGCAUGACACUUUUUUUGUUUAUCUAUAUAUGCUGUUAAUAUUUUCGAACAAAUGUUUUUAUUCUUUAAAGUAAAGGUAAAACUCCAUAUGGAGAUGCUCAUAAUUAAAGAAGGCUUAUACUCAGAAAAAGACAACAAUGUGUAUAGUUAAUUGUAAAUAUCUAGUCUCUUUUAGCUGAGGUACCGUAAGCAUUAUAAUUAUAACAUCAUAUUAUCCAACAGUGUGAAUCAUUAUUCCAUGUCACAUGUUUCUAAUAUAAAAACAAUAACAGACCUGGUCUUACUACAUGUAAAUAAAUGAAUCAAAAACAUAACACAAAAUGUGGCUUGGAAGGUAUCCAAUAUUUAACAUGAGAGCAAACAAGAAUAACAUGGACAAAAACAAAGACUGUGUUAACUGUCCAUCAUUGAUGGAUAAGUCACAGUGUGUGAAUAAUAUGAUGUCAUAAUAAAACAAUGUAGCCUUUCCAAAACAUAUUUUAUCGAUUAUUGAAAGUACAUUGACUUCUGACUGUGUCCUUGGUCCAUACACUUUCAUUGGGACACCUAAAACAUGCAUUGACCUCAUCAAAAGGCUAUAAUGGUAUAGAAUCAAACACAAAUAUACAAAAGCAUUAUAAAAAGAGUCAUAAAUUAAACAGGCACCAUUAUCACAGCAUAUUUGUUAACAAAAUCAUCAUUGACUCUCAUUAAACCAGAAUUUAGGUUACUGGAAAGAUUUUACACCAUUAUUUUUUUUGUCAGUUUCAAAAUUAAAGGAUAUUUCAGAAGAUCAGGUAAAUGUUUUUUGAUAAAAGUGAAAUAAAACCUGAAAAAACAAGAAUGUGUCCAAAGUACACGGAUGCCCCACUCACACUAUCAUUUUCCAUGUUCAAUGGACCAUGAAAUUGGAUAAAAAAUAUAAUUAGGCAUUAAAAUUAGAAAGAUAAUAUCAUAGGGAACAUGUGUACUAAGUAUCAAGUUGAUUGGACUUCAACUUCAUCAAAAACUACCUUGACCAAAAACUUUAACCUGAAACAUGCACUUUCAUUUUCUAUGUUCAGUGGACCCUGAAAUUGGGGUCAAAAGUUUAAUUUGGCUUUAAAAUUAGAAAGAUCAUAUCAUAAGGAACAUGUGACUAAGUUUCAAGUUGAUUGGACUUCAACUUCAUCAAAAACUACCUUGACU